Molecule: unclassified non-coding RNA, 279 nt
Filed under: plant metagenome
Description: partial contains small subunit ribosomal RNA, internal transcribed spacer 1, and 5.8S ribosomal RNA
Source: RNAcentral
UUUCCGUAGGUGAGCCUGCGGAAGGAUCAUUAUUGUAUAACCGAGGUGCGAGGGCCUUCGCGAACCCUAAAUCUCGUUCACGCCCGUGUGGACGCGCACACAUCCAUCUCACCACUAUGUGCACCACCGCGUUGAUCCUCCUUUCGCUUGUUCGGAAGCGGUCUUACGUUGACACACAAACUUCGCAUGCACUGUAGAAUUUAUAUUUUGUUUUUGCGAUCACGCAAUCAAUACGACUUUCAACAUCGAAUCACUUAGCUCUCGCAUCUAUGAAUAACG